RNAcentral lists this unclassified non-coding RNA (142 nucleotides) under Halorubrum ezzemoulense. RNAcentral's name for it is "HgcC family RNA". The stretch from base 1 to 121 matches the Rfam family "Sense overlapping transcript RNA 0042 (sot)", at positions 66 to 174 of the family's 174-position model. Rfam says of the family: It is associated with IS1341-type transposase (tnpB) genes, at the 3'-end in H. salinarum NRC-1. The tetraloop structural motif may be functional. The record is from RNAcentral. Lineage: Archaea; Methanobacteriati; Methanobacteriota; Halobacteria; Halobacteriales; Haloferacaceae.
ACGUUCCUGUUUGACACGGAAACUGGCGCAUUUGCGCCUCAAGAACGGGUAACGUCGUAAACCACAAUAUCCCAACUCAGCGGCGCGGUGCCGUGGGAAUCCUCGCGCUUCAGCGCGGGGAGGAUGUCAACGGUCGUUCCUC